Passer montanus (Eurasian tree sparrow) is the source of this 1628-nucleotide long non-coding RNA. RefSeq lists it as uncharacterized. The transcript is spliced from 2 exons. The record is from RefSeq and is a predicted model, not a curated record. NCBI's taxonomy places the organism in Eukaryota, Metazoa, Chordata, Aves, Passeriformes, Passeridae.
UUUCCUUGCCCCCUUUCCCCUCACGGUUCCGCCCUUUCCUCGCCCCCUUUCCCCUCACGGUUCCGCCCUUUCCUCGCCCCCUUUCCCCUCACGGUUCCGGCCCUUUCCUUGCCCCCUUUCCCCUCACGGUUCGGCCUUCGGGAACGGGGCAGGAGGAGGAGGAGGGAGGGAGGAAGAGGCCGAGCAGCAGGAGCAGCAGCAGCAGCAGAAGAGCAGAGGGAGAAUCUGGUGGCCCUGGCGCUCCCUGAAGCCGCCGCAGCCCCGGGAGCAUCGCCCCCCAUCCCGCAGGUGCCCGGGGAGGGGGAGCUCGGCCCAAAGAUCCCGGGGGGUCCCUGGCUUUGGGGUUUUUUCGGGGGAUGUUUGCAGCUGGCAGGGCUCCCAAGCCCAGCCGCAGAUGGCCCUCGGGGGGACAUCGGGGGGUCCCCGGGAGGUGUUUUUGGGGGUCCCAGAGCCGGCAGUGGUUUCUCCCAGUAUGAGCCCUGUCACUCCCAGUGGUUCCCUAUGAUGACGCAACUUGCUGCCAGGAAGAUCCCAGUUGCUCCCAGUUUGAUCCAGUGUGUUCCCAGUUCUCCCAGCUACCCCUAGCAUAGUCCUACUCACUCCCAGUGUGGUUCCGCCCUUGGCCUGAGAGGGGCAAUUGUGGGAAUCCAUGGGAUUCGAGGAUUUUAGGACAGUUGGGAAAAAGAAAGGCCUCAGAGACAGUAAGGAUAGUGAAAUGCUAAAGCAGCAGAAAAGAUAUAUUGGCAGUAGUGAAGACAUGAGAACUAGAACAAUAAAGCUGUGUAGUUUGACUUUCUAACUUGCAAAAAGUCUAUUUUAUUGAAUAUUUAGAAGGUUAAAUAUCAAUGGGGCUCUGUGCUUUGUUGCUUAGAAAUGAGCCAUCGUAUGAGAGAAAAAGCUGCUACUGUUUUAACCAAAGCUCCAUGUGGCUGGACAGAACUACUGUCAAUAUGCUUUUGCUCGAUGUAAUUGGCUGAAACUGGGCCUGAGACUGUCUUAGAGUGUGUUGAGACAUGAAGUUUCCUGGGGCUGCUGUGUGGACAGCGAGCUGCUGGCAUGGAUGCAUUGCCAGAGCCCUGCACUGGGGCUGAUGCUGCUGAAAUGAACAGCUCACGGCGCUGUUCAGGCGUGGCCCCGUUCCGCUCGUGUCUGUGUAUAAACGGCCACGCCAAGCGCUGCCCCUCUGUGAGCAGAACGUGAGACUAGGAUAGAAAAGGAAAUCUUGGAAAAACUCGGGCAGCGGAGGCCCAGGUUGUUAAACAGGAGGAAUGUAUCAUCCCCUCUUUGUCUGCAUCUAAUGUCUUUCGCCCGGUGCUUUUCUCGGGAACGAUUCCGGUGUCGGCUCCUCCGGAGGCUGCGAACCGGAGCAGCUUCCAGCUGGGGCCGCGUCCCCGCUUUCUGCCGGCCCUCUCAGCGUCUCUGCAGUUGAGAGCAGUCCUUCGCCGCUCCCUCUGGGAAGAAAGGAACUCUUGCCGUGUCGGGAAAUAUGUUCGGAAUUUUCCUUGCGUUCCGGGAAUGAGACCGAGCGCGAGUUCUGUUCGGGGGCGGGGGGUGCGAGCCGCGCGAAGGCGGGAGAUGAGAAUUGACAGAGGUCUUGUGAUAAAGGAAUUACGUGUUCUGAAAGUGAA